This 376-nucleotide ribosomal RNA is filed under the name uncultured eukaryote. RNAcentral describes it as "partial 18S ribosomal RNA". It matches the Rfam family "Eukaryotic small subunit ribosomal RNA", at positions 592 to 976 of the family's 1831-position model. The record is from RNAcentral.
CAAUAGCGUAUAUAAAAGUUGUUGCAGUUAAAAAGCUCGUAGUUGGGUGGUUUGUGUUGGGAUGUCAGUCGCCGAAAGGCGACUGGAGUCUCAGACAAUACUUGUGGGCUGUGCUGGGGUAUUCACUUACACCAACACUCGAACCCACAUCCUUUACUGUGAAAAAAUUAGAGUGUUUCAAGCAGGAGUUGCGUCUGGAAUACAUUAGCAUGGAAUAAUGAUAUAUGACUGUUGUUGUAUUUUGUUGGUUUGUCGGCGAUAGUAAUGAUUAAUAGGGUCAGUUGGGGGUAUUCAUAUUUGAGCGUCAGAGGUGAAAUUCUUGGAUCGCUGAAAGAUGAGCUAAGGCGAAAGCAUUUAUCAAGGAUGUUUUCAUUAA